UACGGAGGGAGCUAGCGUUGUUCGGAAUUACUGGGCGUAAAGCGUGCGUAGGCGGCUUUGUAAGUUAGAGGUGAAAGCCCGGGGCUCAACUCCGGAAUUGCCUUUAAGACUGCAUCGCUUGAAUCAUGGAGAGGUGAGUGGAAUUCCGAGUGUAGAGGUGAAAUUCGUAGAUAUUCGGAAGAACACCAGUGGCGAAGGCGACUCGCUGGACAAGUAUUGACGCUGAGGUGCGAAAGCGUGGGGAGCAAACAGG
RNAcentral lists this ribosomal RNA (253 nucleotides) under uncultured bacterium. Its description in RNAcentral is "partial 16S ribosomal RNA". It matches the Rfam family "Bacterial small subunit ribosomal RNA", at positions 524 to 776 of the family's 1533-position model. The record is from RNAcentral.